This 301-nucleotide ribosomal RNA is filed under the name uncultured bacterium. Its description in RNAcentral is "partial 16S ribosomal RNA". It matches the Rfam family "Bacterial small subunit ribosomal RNA", at positions 509 to 808 of the family's 1533-position model. The record is from RNAcentral.
CAGUCGCCCGGUAAUACGUAGGGUCCGAGCGUUGUCCGGAAUUAUUGGGCGUAAAGAGCUCGUAGGCGGUCUGUCGCGUCUGCCGUGAAAUCCUCAGGCUCAACCUGAGGCGUGCGGUGGGUACGGGCAGGCUAGAGUGCGGUAGGGGAGAAUGGAACUCCUGGUGUAGCGGUGGAAUGCGCAGAUAUCAGGAAGAACACCGAUGGCGAAGGCAGUUCUCUGGGCCGUAACUGACGCUGAGGAGCGAAAGCGUGGGGAGCGAACAGGAUUAGAUACCCCCGUAGUCCCUGUCUCUUAUACC